AAAGCCACAACCGGCUGGCAUGAAAACAGAUAGGUAAAACUAAAUGCCUAUCCUAUUACAUGAUCGCCAUCCAAACCGGUUGAAGAUAUCCCGCGCUACCGUCUCCCACCGGACAGAUCCAGUAACCAAACGCUCCCUGGCCUCCGUCGGAGUGAGUAAUGACCACGUACGGAUCAGUGCUGUAGCUCGGAAUAACACCUGCAAAAAAUGAGUAUUUGUUGUUCUGUUAAAAACCAAAUCAUUUCUGCAAUUCCAAAUUGCCCAUAAUAACGCACAUACUCCUACACGAAUGUGUCUGGCUGUUUCGGAUUCAAUCCCAACAAGCCACGCCCCAAAUAACGUGUUUACCGAUGUCGGAGGAGUAAUAUUAAAAGCAAUUUGCACGGAGCGCCACAAUCCUCGUGCCAACGGACAGUCAAAAAAUAAGUGCUUGAUGGUCUCAUCCCUAUCACAGAAACUACACCUAGUAGAUCCUGUCCAGUUGCGCCUAACUAGAUUGUCCUUAGUAAGAAUAACUUGCUUAUGCACAAACCACAUAAAUACUUUAAUCUUCAAAGGUACCUUAACUUUCCAGACCUCCUUGGAUGUAGGUAUCACAGCAGAAUUAAUGAUAUCAACAUACAUCGAUUUAACCGUGAAUACCCCAGUUCUAGUUAGCUUCCAAAACAACUGAUCGGGCUGAGAAUUUAGCUGAACUUCCAUCAGCCUACGGACCAAGUGAAGCCAUGCCUCCCAUCGAGGCCCGACAAGCACCCUCCUAAACUGAAUAUUUAGAGGUAUAGACUGCAUCACCGUGGCAACGAGAGUAUCCCUACGCUGAACAAUACGAUAUAGUGUCGGAUAUUGUGUAGCCAAUGGCGCGUCACCAAGCCACGUAUCCUCCCAGAAACGCGUAUUAUCACCAUUACCAACAAUACAUCUCGUUCUGUUAAAGAAAGCGGCUUUAACCCUCAUAAGCCCUUUCCAGAACGGCGAAUCUGUAGGUCUCAGAGUAACCUGGGAUAAAGUCUUUGAGUGCAGAUAUUUACUAUGUAGAAUCUGCGUCCAAGUUGUCUCUGUCUCAGAAGACAACUUAAACAACCACUUACUAAGCAGGCAUUUGUUCUUGACUUCAAGAUUUUCAACCCCAAGCCCCCCUUGGUCCUUUGGUCGACAAAUAAUAUCCCAUUUGGCCAAUCUAUACUUCCUCUUAGACUCAUCACUCUGCCAAAAGAAGCGAGAUCGAUAGAAGUCUAGCCUCUUCCUAACCCCCACUGGGACCUCGAAGAAAGAUAAGAGAAACAUAGGUAAACUCGUGAGCACCGAGUUAAUCAGAAUUAACCGGCCUCCAUAAGACAUGAGUUUUCCUUUCCAGCAACUAAGUUUCUUCUCAAAACGAUCCUCGAUGCACUUCCACUCACGAUUUGUUAGCUUACGAUGGUGUAUUGGAAUACCAAGAUACGUGAAAGGUAGAGCCCCAACUUCGCAACCAAACAAUUAUGUAUAUGCUUCUUGAUCGUCUUUGGCUCUACCAAAGUAGAACAACUCGCUUUUAUGGAAAUUAAUUUUCAGCCCCGACAAUUGUUCAAAAAGGCAUAACACUAACUUCAUGUUCCUCGCUUUUGCCAAAUCGUGUUCCAUGAAAAUGAUUGUAUCAUCAGCGUAUUGCGGGAUGGACAGACCACCAUCAACUAGAUGAGGCACCAAUCCCUCCACCUGACCGGCUUCCUUGGCCCUCCCAAUCAGGAUCGCUAACAUAUCAACCACAAUAUUGAACAGAAUAGGCGACAUAGGGUCCCCCUGUCUCAAACCCUUGUGCGUUUGGAAGUAAUGACCUAUGUCGUCAUUAACUUUAAUGCCAACACUACCUUUUUGCGUGAAUGUUUCCGCCUGAUGUCGCCAGAGCUCAUCAAAGCCCUUCAUCCGUAAAGCCUGUUGGAGGAACGGCCAUUUGACUUUAUCAUAAGCCUUCUCGAAAUCCACUUUAAAAAUAACACCAUCUAGUUUUUUUGUAUGAAUUUCAUGAAGCGUUUCAUGAAGGACCACAACCCCUUCGAGGAUGUUCCUAUCCGGCAUGAACGCCGUUUGAGAAGGUUGCACAACUGUGUGCGCAAUCUGCGUGAGCCUGAUCGUUCCAACCUUGGUAAAGAUCUUGAAGCUGACAUUCAAAAGGCAGAUGGGCCGAAAUUGCUCAAUUCUCACGGCAUCUGUUUUCUUAGGCAGCAAAGUUAUCAUUCCAAAAUUUAGUUGGAAAAGCUACAAAUGUCCCGAGAACAAAUCAUGGAACAUCGGCAUCAGGUCCCCUUUGAUAAUAUGCCAGCACUUCUUGUAAAACUCAGCCGGGAAACCAUCCGGCCCCGGUGCCUUGUUACACUUCAUCUUGGAGAUAGCUUCGAAAACCUCCUUUUCCGAGAAAGGGGCAGUUAAAACAUCGUUCUCCACAGCAGUAAGUUGAGGGAUAUCGUGAACCCUAGACUCAUCCAGGGACACACAGUUCUCCUCUGGUGGUCCGAACAGACGUUUAUAGUACUCAGUAAUGUAAAGCUUCAGGUUGUCCUGACCGACUAUUGUACCCUCAUCUUGUUCUAACUGGAAAAUUCUCUUCUUCCGGUGCUUGCCAUUGGCUAUCAUGUGGAAGAACUGAGUGUUCGCAUCCCCCUGGACAACUUUUGUCACCUUUGCCCGCAGCGCCCACUUUAAUUCUUCCUCACGGAGUAACUCUUUCAGCCUCCCCUCAGCCUCAUGCUUGAUAUGAAGCUCGGGGGCUGACAGAAUCGUAGUUUCAGCCCUUAUAUCUAAGGUUUGGAUAAGGGAAAGGAGUCGUUCCUUCUCCACCUUAUACAUUCCACCUAGAUGUUUAGCCCACCCCCGAAGGAAACUUCUGAGGUGCCUAAUCUUGUUCUGCCAGCGCUCAAGGGCAUUCCUACCUCCUGCAUCUUUAGCCCAUUCUCUGGCUACAAGAUCCAAGAAUCCUUCUCUUUCAAACCACGCCAGCUCAAAAGAGAAUAAAUUCUUGUUACCCGAGUAGGUAGCCCCACCAGAGUCGAGCAGCAGGGGUGUGUGAUCAGAAAUGCCGCGGGAUAGAGCUUGCACCUUUACAAAGGGAAACUUUUGUUCCCAAGCAACACUAGCCAGAACCCGAUCCAACUUCUCGAACGUUGGAUUUGGCAACGCGUUAGCCCAGGUGAACUUCCUCCCUGAAAGCUCAAUCUCUCUCAAAUCUAAGCUUUCAAUAAUAGUAUUAAACAUAAAUGACCAUCUCCCAUCAAAAUUGUCAUUAUUCUUUUCAUCGCGUCUUCUAAUGAUAUUAAAAUCACCCCCAACCAGAAUUGGGAGCUGCUCAGACCCGCAGACUCUAACAAGAUCAGCCAAAAAGUCAGGUUUGAGCUCUGCCUGCGCCGCCCCAUACACCGCCACCAAAGCCCAGUCGAACCCAUCAACUUUGGACCGCACCCUAAACUUAACAGCAAAAUCCCCCAUGACCACACUGCGAACUUCGAGAGAGUCACAUCUAACACCAAAUAAGAUUCCACCCGACCGUCCUCUCGGCGGAAGACAAUGCCAGUCAAACUCAAUACCCCCCGACAACGUAUUGAGAAAUUGAGGCGAGAAAUUUGCUCUACCCGUUUCCGAUACGGCAAUAAAGUCCAAUCUAUGCUCAAUGGAUCCUUCCGCCAGGAACCUCCUUUUAGCCAAGUCCUUAAGACCUCUGCUAUUCCAGAAGAUUCCUCUCAUAUCUCAUCAUGAAAUUUUUUAGCCGUGCGGAUCCUAGCGCUCCUACGGACCGCGGACAUCGGGUAUAUUUUGCGCUUCCACUUGCGCUUAGGGCUAGUCGGGCCCACCCGGUCCACACUGCCCGUAACUGGCGAUCUAACCUCUUCCAAACCGACCUCCUCAUCCUCCUCCUCCGGCUCCUGGAGGGGCGGUGCGAGGUCAUCACAAAAAUUAUCAAGUAUUCGAACUCCCAAGGCAUCAAUCUCUGAAUCGUUCAUCGGUUUGACAGCAGCUAAGUUACGAAUCAUUUCUAAAGCCCUCUCGGCUUCUAGAUCAAGUAAAUCGUUAAUAGAACUAGUAACUUCACCCUCAUUACUACCAAGUGAAAUUCCUAAUUGGUUUGCCUUAUCCACAAUUUGAUCAUUCGAAAAAUGCAGAAUAGUAUUUGAAGUGUUCACGGACAUACCAGUAGUGACCUGGACGUCACGAAGCUUUGCCGCCCUCACGGCACAGC
RNAcentral lists this long non-coding RNA (4207 nucleotides) under Triticum aestivum (bread wheat). Its description in RNAcentral is "long non-coding RNA (TAES_LNC021578)". The record is from RNAcentral. Lineage: Eukaryota; Viridiplantae; Streptophyta; Magnoliopsida; Poales; Poaceae.